This is a long non-coding RNA of Sebastes umbrosus (honeycomb rockfish), 675 nucleotides long. RefSeq lists it as uncharacterized. Lineage: Eukaryota; Metazoa; Chordata; Actinopteri; Perciformes; Sebastidae. The transcript is spliced from 2 exons. The record is from RefSeq and is a predicted model, not a curated record.
GGCAGGCCAGAUGAUGCAACUCACUUUAUACUCUCUUAACGCCAACAUGCUGACUGACAGAAACCUUGACUAUAAGGUGGGUGUGCGUUUGGAGUGAUUUGAAGCCAGGAGCUGCUCAAAGUCCAGCUCACUGGAAACCCCGGGAACCAGCAGCUCCACGAAGGCAUGGUCUGCAGGAAAAUCCCCCGGCCACUCCAUACUGCUCUGAGAGAGAGAGAGAGAGAGAGAGAGAGAGAGAGAGAGAGAGAGAGAGAGAACCUUACUGUAUAACAUCAGAAAACACUCCACAUGACAUGUACCAAUUCAUAAAGCAAAAUAAUGAGAAAGACAGCACUGGUGUCGGGAUUAAAUAAACAAUUUAGGCUGACACCAAAUAACAGAGAUUUGGAGUGUAUUAUCACAGCUGUCUGUCAAGAAACUGAACAUACACACACACACACACGCAGUUAUGUGGCGUAUAAUAAUUUGAAAUCUCCUCAAACAGGAGUCUUAUUAGGAGGCACAAAUCAAUUGCACCUGAAACAAAAGGAAGCUUAUCAUCAACAAAAACAGUUUCUCCCAGUUGCCCUCAUCUUUCCUCAGACAAUCAUUUUGCAGUAGGAGGACCCCUGAUCAAAAUGCAUUGCCUCAGCCGCCAACCAUUUCCACCUACUGACACUACAGUGAGUUAACAAA